GCGUUGUGUAAGCGGAGAAACAGUAGCGGAAGCGGCUGUGGAGUUUACAGAAGUGAGAAUGCCGGAAUGAGUAGCGCGAAUGAUGUGAGAAUCAUCAUGGCCGGAAACCUCAGGUUUUUGGAGGAAGGUUCGUCCGCUCCAAGUUAGGCGGGGGCUAAGGUGAGGCCGAAAGGCGUAGCCGAUGCACAGACGGUAGAGAUUCCGUCCCCACCGAAAGAUUUAAGCGCAGGGACACUUUUAGAAGGUCGGAGCCAGGUGUUGGUUCUGGUAGAGAUCGAGGGAAGAUUAGUACCGAAGUCCGGCUGGAUAAGAGGCGAGAAAAGCUGCGUGUAUAUCUAAGGUGCCCGUACCGCAAACCGACACAGGUAGGUAGGAAGAAGAUUCUAAGGCCAACGGGAGAAGGGUUGUUAAGGAACUCGGCAAGUUGACCCCGUAACUUCGGAAUAAGGGGUGCUCAUGAAAGUGAGCCGCAGAGAAUAGGCCCAGGCAACUGUUUACCAAAAACACAGGUUUGUGCUAAAUCGAAAGAUGACGUAUACGAGCUGACGCCUGCCCGGUGCUGGAAGGUUAAAAGGAGAUGUGCAAGCAUUGAAUUGAAGCCCCAGUGAACGGCGGCCGUAACGAUAACGGUCCUAAGGUAGCGAAAUUCCUUGUCAGGUAAGUUCUGACCCGCAUGAAAGGCGUAAUGAUCUGGGCACUGUCUCAACAGCCCGCCCGGCGAAAUUGUAGUACCGGUGAAGAUGCCGGUUACCCGCGACAAGACGGAAAGACCCCAUGAGCUUUACUGUAGCCUAAUAUUGGGUUUCGGUGUUGCAUGCACAGGAUAGAUGGGACGCUGGGAAGUGAGUGCUUUGGCAUUCAUGGAGCGGCCGUUGGGAUACCAUCCUUGCGACAUUGGAAUUCUAACCUGCGCCUUUGAAUCAAGGCGGGGGACAUUGUUAGGUGGGCAGUUUGACUGGGGCGGUCGCCUCCUAAAGAGUAGCGGAGGCGUUCAAAGGUUGGCUCGUCCUGGACGGAAACCAGGAGAGAGAGUGCAAACGCAAAAGCCAGCCUGACUGCGAGACUGACGGGUCGAGCAGAGACGAGAGUCGGAGUUAGUGAUCCGGUGGUAUGUGGGUGGAAAUGCCAUCGCUCAACGGAUAAAAGUUACCCUGGAUAACAGGCUGAUCUCCCCCAAGAGUCCACAUCGACGGGGAGGUUUGGCACCUCGAUGUCGGCUCAUCGCAUCCUGGGGCUGUAUUCGGUCCCAAGGGUUUGGCUGUUCGCCAAUUAAAGCGGUACGCGAGCUGGGUUCAGAACGUCGUGAGACAGUUCGGUCCCUAUCUGUCGUGGGCGCAGGAUAUUUGAAAGGCGCUGUCCCUAGUACGAGAGGACCGGGAUGGACGAACCUCUGGUGCACCAGUUGUCACGCUAGUGGCACAGCUGGGCAGCUAUGUUCGGAUCGGAUAAACGCUGAAAGCAUCUAAGCGUGAAGUCGGCCUUAAGAUAAGAUAUCCCACUGAGAUAAUCAGGUAAGACCCCUUGAAGACUACAAGGUUGAUAGGCACAAUGUGUAAGUGGCGCGAGUCAUUGAGCAAGCGUGUACUAAUAGGUCGAGGGCUUGACCAG
This 1608-nucleotide ribosomal RNA is filed under the name metagenome. RNAcentral's name for it is "bacterial LSU rRNA". It matches the Rfam family "Bacterial large subunit ribosomal RNA", at positions 1236 to 2925 of the family's 2925-position model. The record is from RNAcentral.